Molecule: ribosomal RNA, 1343 nt
Filed under: uncultured bacterium
Lineage: Bacteria
Description: 16S ribosomal RNA
Rfam family: Bacterial small subunit ribosomal RNA
Source: RNAcentral
GACGAACGCUGGCGGCGUGCUUAACACAUGCAAGUCGAACGGAAAGGCCCUGCUUUUGUGGGGUGCUCGAGUGGCGAACGGGUGAGUAACACGUGAGUAACCUGCCCUUGACUUUGGGAUAACUUCAGGAAACUGGGGCUAAUACCGGAUAGGAGCUCCUGCUGCAUGGUGGGGGUUGGAAAGUUUCGGCGGUUGGGGAUGGACUCGCGGCUUAUCAGCUUGUUGGUGGGGUAGUGGCUUACCAAGGCUUUGACGGGUAGCCGGCCUGAGAGGGUGACCGGCCACAUUGGGACUGAGAUACGGCCCAGACUCCUACGGGAGGCAGCAGUGGGGAAUAUUGCACAAUGGGCGGAAGCCUGAUGCAGCAACGCCGCGUGCGGGAUGACGGCCUUCGGGUUGUAAACCGCUUUCGCCUGUGACGAAGCGUGAGUGACGGUAAUGGGUAAAGAAGCACCGGCUAACUACGUGCCAGCAGCCGCGGUGAUACGUAGGGUGCGAGCGUUGUCCGGAUUUAUUGGGCGUAAAGGGCUCGUAGGUGGUUGAUCGCGUCGGAAGUGUAAUCUUGGGGCUUAACCCUGAGCGUGCUUUCGAUACGGGUUGACUUGAGGAAGGUAGGGGAGAAUGGAAUUCCUGGUGGAGCGGUGGAAUGCGCAGAUAUCAGGAGGAACACCAGUGGCGAAGGCGGUUCUCUGGGGCCUUCCUGACGCUGAGGAGCGAAAGCGUGGGGAGCGAACAGGCUUAGAUACCCUGGUAGUCCACGCUGUAAACGGUGGGUACUAGGUGUGGGGUCCAUUCCACGGGUUCCGUGCCGUAGCUAACGCUUUAAGUACCCCGCCUGGGGAGUACGGCCGCAAGGCUAAAACUCAAAGGAAUUGACGGGGCCCCGCACAAGCGGCGGAGCAUGCGGAUUAAUUCGAUGCAACGCGUAGAACCUUACCUGGGUUUGACAUGGAUCGGGAGUGCUCAGAGAUGGGUGUGCCUCUUUUGGGGUCGGUUCACAGGUGGUGCAUGCCUGUCGUCAGCUCGUGUCGUGAGAUGUUGGGUUAAGUCCCGCAACGAGCGCAACCCUUGUUCACUGUUGCCAGCACGUUAUGGUGGGGACUCAGUGGAGACCGCCGGGGUCAACUCGGAGGAAGGUGGGGAUGACGUCAAGUCAUCAUGCCCCUUAUGUCCAGGGCUUCACGCAUGCUACAAUGGCUGGUACAGAGAGUGGCGAGCCUGUGAGGGUGAGCGAAUCUCGGAAAGCCGGUCUCAGUUCGGAUUGGGGUCUGCAACUCGACCUCAUGAAGUCGGAGUCGCUAGUAAUCGCAGAUCAGCAACGCUGCGGUGAAUAAGUUCCCGGG